Molecule: transfer RNA, 75 nt
Filed under: uncultured archaeon
Lineage: Archaea
Description: tRNA-Glu(ctc)
Rfam family: tRNA
About the family: Transfer RNA (tRNA) molecules are approximately 80 nucleotides in length. Their secondary structure includes four short double-helical elements and three loops (D, anti-codon, and T loops). Further hydrogen bonds mediate the characteristic L-shaped molecular structure. tRNAs have two regions of fundamental functional importance: the anti-codon, which is responsible for specific mRNA codon recognition, and the 3' end, to which the tRNAs corresponding amino acid is attached (by aminoacyl-tRNA synthetases). tRNAs cope with the degeneracy of the genetic code in two manners: having more than one tRNA (with a specific anti-codon) for a particular amino acid; and 'wobble' base-pairing, i.e. permitting non-standard base-pairing at the 3rd anti-codon position.
Source: RNAcentral
GCUCCCAUAGUCUAGCCCGGUCAAGGACGUCGGACUCUCAAUCCGGUAACACGGGUUCAAAUCCCGUUGGGAGCA